Molecule: long non-coding RNA, 240 nt
Filed under: Calidris pugnax (ruff)
Lineage: Eukaryota; Metazoa; Chordata; Aves; Charadriiformes; Scolopacidae
Description: lncRNA (ENSCPUG00000003466.1)
Source: RNAcentral
CAGCAGAGAAUGACUGAAACCGUGUAUGUCAGUGCAACAAACAAUUCCACAAAGCGGACUCAAUUCAGGGCAGUAAUAGAUUGACCUGUUAGAUGACCUGGCUUCAGAAGAAAACAGACAGGCUGUCAGAGGGAAUCCUUAGGUGGAAGAGAACCAGUAUAACUGUUUCACUGCCAUAUUACCAUCCUCCCCUAUAGCAAGGAAAGGAGCUCCUGAGACUUAUUUCCUGGGCAAGCAGAA